RNAcentral lists this ribosomal RNA (1343 nucleotides) under uncultured bacterium. RNAcentral describes it as "16S ribosomal RNA". It matches the Rfam family "Bacterial small subunit ribosomal RNA", at positions 28 to 1378 of the family's 1533-position model. The record is from RNAcentral.
GACGAACGUUGGCGGCGUGCUUAACACAUGCAAGUCGAACGGAAAGGCCCUGCUUUUGUGGGGUGCUCGAGUGGCGAACGGGUGAGUAACACGUGAGUAACCUGCCCUUGACUUUGGGAUAACUUCAGGAAACUGGGGCUAAUACCGGAUAGGAGCUCCUGCUGCAUGGUGGGGGUUGGAAAGUUUCGGCGGUUGGGGAUGGACUCGCGGCUUAUCAGCUUGUUGGUGGGGUAGUGGCUUACCAAGGCUUUGACGGGUAGCCGGCCUGAGAGGGUGACCGGCCACAUUGGGACUGAGAUACGGCCCAGACUCCUACGGGAGGCAGCAGUGGGGAAUAUUGCACAAUGGGCGGAAGCCUGAUGCAGCAACGCCGCGUGCGGGAUGACGGCCUUCGGGUUGUAAACCGCUUUCGCCUGUGACGAAGCGUGAGUGACGGUAAUGGGUAAAGAAGCACCGGCUAACUACGUGCCAGCAGCCGCGGUGAUACGUAGGGUGCGAGCGUUGUCCGGAUUUAUUGGGCGUAAAGGGCUCGUAGGUGGUUGAUCGCGUCGGAAGUGUAAUCUUGGGGCUUAACCCUGAGCGUGCUUUCGAUACGGGUUGACUUGAGGAAGGUAGGGGAGAAUGGAAUUCCUGGUGGAGCGGUGGAAUGCGCAGAUAUCAGGAGGAACACCAGUGGCGAAGGCGGUUCUCUGGGCCUUUCCUGACGCUGAGGAGCGAAAGCGUGGGGAGCGAACAGGCUUAGAUACCCUGGUAGUCCACGCUGUAAACGGUGGGUACUAGGUGUGGGGUCCAUUCCACGGGUUCCGUGCCGUAGCUAACGCUUUAAGUACCCCGCCUGGGGAGUACGGCCGCAAGGCUAAAACUCAAAGGAAUUGACGGGGCCCCGCACAAGCGGCGGAGCAUGCGGAUUAAUUCGAUGCAACGCGUAGAACCUUACCUGGGUUUGACAUGGAUCGGGAGCGCUCAGAGAUGGGUGUGCCUCUUUUGGGGUCGGUUCACAGGUGGUGCAUGCCUGUCGUCAGCUCGUGUCGUGAGAUGUUGGGUUAAGUCCCGCAACGAGCGCAACCCUUGUUCACUGUUGCCAGCACGUUAUGGUGGGGACUCAGUGGAGACCGCCGGGGUCAACUCGGAGGAAGGUGGGGAUGACGUCUAGUCCUCAUGCCCCUUAUGUCCAGGGCUUCACGCAUGCUACAAUGGCUGGUACAGAGAGUGGCGAGCCUGUGAGGGUGAGCGAAUCUCGGAAAGCCGGUCUCAGUUCGGAUUGGGGUCUGCAACUCGACCUCAUGAAGUCGGAGUCGCUAGUAAUCGCAGAUCAGCAACGCUGCGGUGAAUACGUUCCCGGG